CUACGGCCAUACCACCCUGAACGCGCCCGAUCUAGUCUGAUCUCGGAAGCUAAGCAGGGUCGGGCCUGGUUAGUACUUGGAUGGGAGAAAACUGAAAAAAAAUCUCUAAAAUUUUGUGCUUUGUGGC
This 127-nucleotide ribosomal RNA is filed under the name Mustela putorius furo (domestic ferret). The record is from RNAcentral. Lineage: Eukaryota; Metazoa; Chordata; Mammalia; Carnivora; Mustelidae.